RNAcentral lists this long non-coding RNA (906 nucleotides) under Solanum tuberosum (potato). RNAcentral's name for it is "long non-coding RNA (STUB_LNC001410)". Lineage: Eukaryota; Viridiplantae; Streptophyta; Magnoliopsida; Solanales; Solanaceae. The record is from RNAcentral.
CUACCUCCUAUAGCUCCUGCUCCUGCUACUACUAUUGUCCCCUCCUUACCUCGUAUAGCUCCUGCUAAUGCUAUUGUCCCCUACUAUUGCUACCUCCUACAACUCUCGCUACUGCUACUCCAAAUCUUAAUUCUAAUACUACUCUUACUCCUACCUCCCGCUCCUGCUCGUAGUCUUUCUCCUACUCCUACUCAUAAGCCUGCUACUGCUACCUCCUACUGCUCCAACUACUGCUGCUAAUACUACUAAUGCUACUAUCCCUUGCUACCUCCUAAAGCUCCUGCUACUACUACUGCAAUUGUCCCUUACUACCACCUAAAGCUCCUGCUACGGCUACUUUCCCCUGCACUACUAUAUGCUACCUCCUACAGCUCAGCUCCUACUACUGCUACUGCCCUUUGCUACCUCCUACAACUUUUUCUAACAGCUCCUGCUAUUGCUACCAUCUAUUGCUAUUGUCCAUGCUACUGCUACCUGCUACCACCUACUUCUACCGUACUCUGCUACUACUACCUCCUAUAGCUAUUGUCCCCUGCAACUACUGCCUAAUCAUAAUCCUAAUCCCACCACCUAAUCCUAAUCUGAAUACUAAUCCCACUUCCUAAUCCUACCUAUUAAUCCUAAUCUUAUUCCUAAUCAUAAUUCUAAUUCUAAUCCUACUUCCUAAUUCUACCUCCUAAUCCUAAUCCUCUCUCCUAACCCUCUAAUCCUACCUCCUAUUCCUACUUCCUAAUCCUAAUCUUACUCCUAAUCCUAAUCCUAAUCCUACCUCCUAAUCCUAUCUCCUACUCUACUCCUACUCCUACUCCUACUCCUAAUCCUAAUCCUAAUCCUAAUCCUACUCCUAAUCCUAAUCCUACACCUAAUCCUAAUCCUACACCUAAUUCUACCUCCUAAUCCUACCUC